This 307-nucleotide ribosomal RNA is filed under the name uncultured eukaryote. RNAcentral's name for it is "partial 18S ribosomal RNA". It matches the Rfam family "Eukaryotic small subunit ribosomal RNA", at positions 1470 to 1796 of the family's 1831-position model. The record is from RNAcentral.
CCCUUAGACGUUCUGGGCCGCACGCGCGCUACACUGACACAGGCAACGAGCUUUCCUUUACCGAAAGGUAUGGGUAAUCUUUUGAAACUGUGUCGUGCUGGGGAUAGAUCCUUGCAAUUUUUGAUCUUACACGAGGAAUUCCUAGUAAGCGCGAGUCAUCAACUCGCGUUGAUUACGUCCCUGCCCUUUGUACACACCGCCCGUCGCUACUACCGAUUGAAUGGCUUAGUGAGGCCUCAGGAUCCGCGCUUAAUGUGUGGAGAAUUUGGACAAACUACGUCAUUUAGAGGAAGUAAAAGUCGUAACA